Molecule: ribosomal RNA, 460 nt
Filed under: uncultured bacterium
Lineage: Bacteria
Description: partial 16S ribosomal RNA
Rfam family: Bacterial small subunit ribosomal RNA
Source: RNAcentral
CCUACGGGAGGCUGCAGUGAGGAAUAUUGGUCAAUGGACGCGAGUCUGAACCAGCCAAGUAGCGUGAAGGAUGACUGCUCUAUGAGUUGUAAACUUCUUUUAUAUGGGAAUAAAAUGUUCCACGUGUGUGUGUUUGUAUGUACCAUAUGAAUAAGGAUCGGCUAACUCCGUGCCAGCAGCCGCGGUAAUACGGAGGAUCCGAGCGUUAUCCGGAUUUAUUGGGUUUAAAGGGUGCGUAGGUGGUCUGUUAAGUCAGUGGUGAAAGUUUGCGGCUCAACUGUAGAAUUGCAGCUGAAACUGGUAGUCUUGAGUGCAGUAGCGGUAGGCGGAAUUCGUGGUGUAGCGGUGAAAUGCUUAGAUAUCACGAAGAACUCCGAUUGCGAAGGCAGUUCACUGGACUGCAACUGACGCUGAGGCUCGAAAGUGUGGGUAGCAAACAGGAUUAGAUACCCUAGUAGUC